Molecule: long non-coding RNA, 885 nt
Organism: Amblyraja radiata (thorny skate)
Lineage: Eukaryota; Metazoa; Chordata; Chondrichthyes; Rajiformes; Rajidae
Exons: 3
Source: RefSeq, a predicted model, not a curated record
GAAGCUGCUGCUGCCUCAGCUGCAAUGUUGCAUCAGUGCCUCUGGACAAGUGUUUGGGCAGCAAAACCCGUCCCUCACGCUUGGUUCAGAGGGACGGAGUUGUGGCUCCUCUCACUGUUUAAGGAGUGAGGUUGAAGCCAGUGAUGGAAGUGCAGACACAGACACGCGGCUCUGAGUUAGUGUGGGCUUGAUGCUGCACAGAAUGCAGCCGCUCUCAAACUGUCCCUGCAGCAGCAACGUGAGGCCGAUGGGCUUUGGACAAAUGGCAGUGGCCACAUCCCAGGAGUUUAAAAUCUUUCAUCAUUUUACCCCAAUCUUCACACGUGACCACUGCUUUGUUUUACAAGUGGCCACAACCUAUACGUGUUGGCUUCAAUGAGCUGACAGGAACUUCAACUUGGGGAAGAGAGAAAGCGGGAGAGAGCGAGAGAGACUUCACUGAGGACCGUGAUGUGCGCGGUGCCGGGACCCUCGAGUUGUCCACACCAGCCGUCGCCGACAGCACACAAUGAUGUACACAAGCGUGAGGAAAAAGAGGAGGAUGCUGCUCGCAUUUCAACCCAAAUGCAACUGAAACUUCCAGGAAGGAGAAAAAAAUGUUCAAAGUCACAAUUGCCGGCUCUGCCAAUCAAGUCGUCAUAGCGAGCACCGCUAAGACAGGUUCCUGAAGAAAACUACCUGUGACCACAAGUGAUCAACGUAGAACGAGCUACAGACACUGUGGGAGAAGAACUCGAUGGAUCCCAUCAGAUGGUUCCCCAAGCAGACAGAGGAACUCGCCAACAGUAGUGUGAGGAGCCCUCCCAGUCAGACCCUGCCUGCUCGGUCAGUAAAGCACCCCACUGCACGCUGCCAUUGAGGUGGUUGUGGUGUGGACAACAUUCA